UACGGAAGGCAGCAGUGGGGAAUAUUGCACAAUGGGCGAAAGCCUGAUGCAGCUAUGCCGCGUGUAUGAAGAAGGCCUUAGGGUUGUAAAGUACUUUCAUCGGGGAGGAAAAAACAAAACUAAUAAUUUUAUUUCUUGACGUUACCCGAAAAAGAAGCACCGGCUAACUCCGUGCCAGCAGCCGCGGUAAUACGGAGGGUGCUAGCGUUAAUCAGAAUUACUGGGCGUAAAGAGCACGUAGGUGGUUUUUUUAAGUCAGAUGUGAAAUCCCUGGGCUUAACCUAGGAACUGCAUUUUGAAACUGAAAUACUAGAGUAUCGUAGAGGGAGGUAGAAUUCUAGGUGUAGCGGUGAAAUGCGUAGAUAUCUGGAGGAAUACCUGUGGCGAAAGCGGCCUCCUAAACGAAUACUGACACUGAGGGUGCGAAAGCGUGGGGAGCAAACAGGAUUAGAUACC
This 456-nucleotide ribosomal RNA is filed under the name uncultured bacterium. RNAcentral's name for it is "bacterial SSU rRNA". It matches the Rfam family "Bacterial small subunit ribosomal RNA", at positions 340 to 786 of the family's 1533-position model. The record is from RNAcentral.